This 411-nucleotide long non-coding RNA is filed under the name Triticum aestivum (bread wheat). RNAcentral's name for it is "long non-coding RNA (TAES_LNC002616)". The record is from RNAcentral. Lineage: Eukaryota; Viridiplantae; Streptophyta; Magnoliopsida; Poales; Poaceae.
UUACAUAAUUUGACCAAGCUUACUGUGUUAAUACUAUGGGGAAACAAACUUUCUGGGUUAAUUCCACAAAAAAUAGAUUACCUUUCAAAUUUACAGUACCUGAGUCUUGGUGAAAACAUACUCUCGGGUUCCAUCCCAAAUAGCAUAGGAAAUUUGACCAAACUCACAACCUUGUCCCUUCGCAACAACCAACUUUCUGGGUUAAUUCCACAAAAAAUAGAUUACCUUUCAAAUUUAGAGUACCUGAGUCUUGGUGAAAACAUACUCUCGGGUUCCAUCCCAAAUAGCAUAGGAAAUUUGACCAAACUCACAACCUUGUCCCUUCGCAACAACCAACUUUCUGGGUUAAUUCCACAAGAAUUGGAGUACCUUGCAAGCUUAGAGUACCUAGAUCUUAGUGAAAACAUACUC